UUAAGCGACUAAGCGUACACGGUGGAUGCCCUGGCAGUCAGAGGCGAUGAAGGACGUGCUAAUCUGCGAAAAGCGUCGGUAAGGUGAUAUGAACCGUUAUAACCGGCGAUGUCCGAAUGGGGAAACCCAGUGCAAUUCGUUGCACUAUCGUUAACUGAAUACAUAGGUUAACGAGGCGAACCGGGGGAACUGAAACAUCUAAGUACCCCGAGGAAAAGAAAUCAACCGAGAUUCCCCCAGUAGCGGCGAGCGAACGGGGAGCAGCCCAGAGUCUGAAUCAGCUUGUGUGUUAGUGGAACGGUCUGGAAAGUCCGACGGUACAGGGUGAUAGUCCCGUACACCAAAAUGCACAGGUUGUGAACUCGAAGAGUAGGGCGGGACACGUGGUAUCCUGUCUGAAUAUGGGGGGACCAUCCUCCAAGGCUAAAUACUCCUGACUGACCGAUAGUGAACCAGUACCGUGAGGGAAAGGCGAAAAGAACCCCGGCGAGGGGAGUGAAAAAGAACCUGAAACCGUGUACGUACAAGCAGUGGGAGCACCUUCGGGUGUGACUGCGUACCUUUUGUAUAAUGGGUCAGCGACUUAUAUUCUGUAGCAAGGUUAACCGUAUAGGGGAGCCGCAGGGAAACCGAGUCUUAACUGGGCGUUAAGUUGCAGGGUAUAGACCCGAAACCCGGUGAUCUAGCCAUGGGCAGGUUGAAGGUUGGGUAACACUAACUGGAGGACCGAACCGACUAAUGUUGAAAAAUUAGCGGAUGACUUGUGGCUGGGGGUGAAAGGCCAAUCAAACCGGGAGAUAGCUGGUUCUCCCCGAAAGCUAUUUAGGUAGCGCCUCGUGAACUCAUCUUCGGGGGUAGAGCACUGUUUCGGCUAGGGGGUCAUCCCGACUUACCAACCCGAUGCAAACUACGAAUACCGAAGAAUGUUAUCACGGGAGACACACGGCGGGUGCUAACGUCCGUCGUGAAGAGGGAAACAACCCAGACCGCCAGCUAAGGUCCCAAAGUCAUGGUUAAGUGGGAAACGAUGUGGGAAGGCACAGACAGCCAGGAUGUUGGCUUAGAAGCAGCCAUCAUUUAAAGAAAGCGUAAUAGCUCACUGGUCGAGUCGGCCUGCGCGGAAGAUGUAACGGGGCUAAACCAUGCACCGAAGCUGCGGCAGCGACACUAUGUGUUGUUGGGUAGGGGAGCGUUCUGUAAGCCUGCGAAGGUGACCUGUGAGGGUUGCUGGAGGUAUCAGAAGUGCGAAUGCUGACAUAAGUAACGAUAAAGCGGGUGAAAAGCCCGCUCGCCGGAAGACCAAGGGUUCCUGUCCAACGUUAAUCGGGGCAGGGUGAGUCGACCCCUAAGGCGAGGCCGAAAGGCGUAGUCGAUGGGAAACAGGUUAAUAUUCCUGUACUUGGUGUUACUGCGAAGGGGGGACGGAGAAGGCUAUGUUAGCCGGGCGACGGUUGUCCCGGUUUAAGCAUGUAGGCUGAUUGUCCAGGCAAAUCCGGAUAAUCAAGGCUGAGGUGUGAUGACGAGGCACUACGGUGCUGAAGUAACAAAUGCCCUGCUUCCAGGAAAAGCCUCUAAGCAUCAGGUAACAUCAAAUCGUACCCCAAACCGACACAGGUGGUCAGGUAGAGAAUACCAAGGCGCUUGAGAGAACUCGGGUGAAGGAACUAGGCAAAAUGGUGCCGUAACUUCGGGAGAAGGCACGCUGGUGUGUAGGUGAAGUCCCUGCGGAUGGAGCUGAGACCAGUCGAAGAUACCAGCUGGCUGCAACUGUUUAUUAAAAACACAGCACUGUGCAAACACGAAAGUGGACGUAUACGGUGUGACGCCUGCCCGGUGCCGGAAGGUUAAUUGAUGGGGUUAUCCGUAAGGAGAAGCUCUUGAUCGAAGCCCCGGUAAACGGCGGCCGUAACUAUAACGGUCCUAAGGUAGCGAAAUUCCUUGUCGGGUAAGUUCCGACCUGCACGAAUGGCGUAAUGAUGGCCAGGCUGUCUCCACCCGAGACUCAGUGAAAUUGAACUCGCUGUGAAGAUGCAGUGUACCCGCGGCAAGACGGAAAGACCCCGUGAACCUUUACUAUAGCUUGACACUGAACAUUGAGCCUUGAUGUGUAGGAUAGGUGGGAGGCUUUGAAGCGUGGACGCCAGUCUGCGUGGAGCCAACCUUGAAAUACCACCCUUUAAUGUUUGAUGUUCUAACGUUGGCCCCUGACCGGGGUUGCGGACAGUGUCUGGUGGGUAGUUUGACUGGGGCGGUCUCCUCCCAAAGCGUAACGGAGGAGCACGAAGGUUAGCUAAUCCUGGUCGGACAUCAGGAGGUUAGUGCAAUGGCAUAAGCUAGCUUGACUGCGAGCGUGACGGCGCGAGCAGGUGCGAAAGCAGGUCAUAGUGAUCCGGUGGUUCUGAAUGGAAGGGCCAUCGCUCAACGGAUAAAAGGUACUCCGGGGAUAACAGGCUGAUACCGCCCAAGAGUUCAUAUCGACGGCGGUGUUUGGCACCUCGAUGUCGGCUCAUCACAUCCUGGGGCUGAAGUAGGUCCCAAGGGUAUGGCUGUUCGCCAUUUAAAGUGGUACGCGAGCUGGGUUUAGAACGUCGUGAGACAGUUCGGUCCCUAUCUGCCGUGGGCGCUGGAGAAUUGAGGGGGGCUGCUCCUAGUACGAGAGGACCGGAGUGGACGCAUCACUGGUGUUCGGGUUGUCAUGCCAAUGGCACUGCCCGGUAGCUAAAUGCGGAAGAGAUAAGUGCUGAAAGCAUCUAAGCACGAAACUUGCCCCGAGAUGAGUUCUCCCUGAGACUUUAAGUCUCCUGAAGGAACGUUGAAGACGACGACGUUGAUAGGCCGGGUGUGUAAGCGCAGCGAUGCGUUGAGCUAACCGGUACUAAUGAACCGUGAGGCUUAACCUU
Molecule: ribosomal RNA, 2900 nt
Filed under: Klebsiella pneumoniae
Lineage: Bacteria; Pseudomonadati; Pseudomonadota; Gammaproteobacteria; Enterobacterales; Enterobacteriaceae
Description: bacterial LSU rRNA
Rfam family: Bacterial large subunit ribosomal RNA
Source: RNAcentral